UAGGGAAGUCUUCCACAAUGGGCGGAAAGCCUGAUGGAGCAACGCCGCGUGUGUGAUGAAGGGUUUCGGCUCGUAAAACACUGUUGUAAGAGAAGAAUGACAUUGAGAGUAACUGUUCAAUGUGUGACGGUAUCUUACCAGAAAGGAACGGCUAAAUACGCGCCAG
Molecule: ribosomal RNA, 166 nt
Filed under: uncultured bacterium
Lineage: Bacteria
Description: partial 16S rRNA
Rfam family: Bacterial small subunit ribosomal RNA
Source: RNAcentral